CCCCCUGCUUCCCUGGCCCAGUGUACGCUGCUCUGUAAUAGCAGGUGUCUCGUGUCUACACCUGCCACAUCCUGCUUGUUUCCUGUUGCUGCCUGCUGGCCUGACGCUUGUGCUGCUGAUUCAUGUCUUGUAACCAUAGUUACGCUGGCUUCUGCAGGCUCCUCUAGCUUGGCCUUCUUGUAGCUGAUCAAAAGAGAACCAGCUCCAUCAUAACUGAUAUGGUGUUUAAUAUGGCUAGUCGCUGUUGGCUGCAGCGACUGUGAAUAGUAAUUAUUGAAGCUUGCAGUAUCUGGAGGUCUUUUGAAAUGGUACUUAAUCGGAACCUACUUAAUACAUUUAUUUGUGUGUGUGGCAGAAACUCGCUCAUGCUGAGGAAGAACUUUGUGCUUAACUCUUUGACACUUUUAAGUGAGUUUGAACUUAUGUUUGUACGUGCAUUGGUGUAAGAGAAGAUUUACAAACGGAUUGCCAGUACUAAAGUACAUUUGUCAAACCAUGGAUGUAAGCAGCGCCCAAGGAAAGCCAAAUAGAGAGAGCCUUUUGUCUGAUUGAGUCUGAUGGGACAUAAUAAUAUUCUAAAGUAGAGUUGUUCUUUUUCAUUACCAGAGCUUUAAGUUGUGCUUAAGAGUGCCAAGAGAGUUCUUGACAUUUUUACUCUCUGCUGCACAAUCCUCUCCUUAUCCUCCUCGUCUCUGGAGUUGUAUACAAUCACAGAGCUUCUCGUGUGUGUGUGUGUGUGUGUGUGUGUGUGUGUGUGUGUGUGUGUGUGCCCCUGUGAAUGCAGUACUAUGAGUUGCUGAGUACAGGGCAAAUUGUCUCCUAUUAGGCUCAUCUACUUUAAGGAUUUUUUUCAUUGGCAAGAUUAGCAAAUUUAGGCAUGACAUGCCAGCAACAAGCGCUGACACUACACAGCCAAGUAUAACUAAUCAAAUUAUGAAAGACAAGCAUUGUAAUUUUGGUUUCCAUAAAGUGAGAGUGGAAGAGGUGAACAAAUUUUUGUUGUCUAUUAACAAUGGUCUGCCACCGUGGUCUGCCAACUUGGAUGGAAAAUUACUGAGGAUAAUAGCGGACGAUAUUGCCACUCCUAUUUGCCAUAUCUUCAAUCUAAGCCUACUAGAAAGUGUGUUCCCCCAGGCUUGGAGGGAAGCAAAAGUAAUUCCGCUAUCCAAGAAUAGUAAAGCCCCCUUUACUGGCUCAAAUAGCCGACCAAUCAGCUUGUUACCAACCCUUAGUGAACUUUUGGAAAAAAUGGUGUUUGACCAGAUACAAUGCUAUUUUACUGUAAACAAAUUGACAACAGACUUUCAGCACGCUUAUGGAAGGACAUUUAACAAGCACGGCACUUACACAAAUGACUGACUGGUUGAUAGAAAUUGAUGAUAAAAGAUUGUGGGAGCUGUUUUGUUUGACUUCAGUGCGGCUUUUGAAAUGAUUGAUCAUAGUCUGCUGAUGGAUAAUCAUAUGUGUUAUGGCUUUACACCCCCUGCUAUAUUGUGGAUAAAGAGUUACCUGUAUAACAGAACACAGAUGGUUUUCUUUAAUGGAAGCCUCUCCACCAUAAUCCAGGUAUAAUCAGGAAUUCCCCAGGGCAGCUGUCAAGGCCCCUUAAUUUUUUCAAUCUUUACUAAUGACAUGCCACUAGCCUUGAGUAAAAACAGUGUGUCUGUGUAUGAGGAUGACUCAAAACUAUAAACGUCAGCUACUACAGUGAGUGAAAUCACUGCAACACUUAAAAUAGAGCUGCAAUUAGUUUCAGAAUGAGUGGCUCGGAAUAAGUUCGUCCUAAAUAUUUAAAAAGACUAAAUGCAUUAUAUUUGGGACAAAUCAUUCACUAAACCCAGAACCUCAACUAAAUCUUGUAAUAAAUCAUGAGUAAAUUGAGGUGACUAAACUGCUUGGAUUAACCGUUGAUUGUAAACUGUCAUGGUGAAAACAUGUUGAUACAACAGUAGCUAAGAUGGAGAGAAAAUGCGCUACUCUGCCUUUUUAACAACCCUAUCAACAACGCAGGUCCUACAGGUUCUUGUUUUGUCGCACCUGGACUUCGGUCGGGUGCCACAGAGGGUCACCUGACCACACAAUUGGCUCAGAACAGUGCAGCACGGCUGGCCCUUAAAUGUACACAGAGAUCUAAAAUUAAUAAUAUGCAUGUGAAUCUGGCUCAAUGUGGAGGAGCGAUUGACUUCAUCACUACUUGUUUUUGUAAGAAGUGUUGACAUGCCACCAAAGGUCUCUUCACAAUCCCCAUGUCAAGAACAGACUAUGGGAGGUGCGCGGUACAUGGAGACAUGGUUACAUAGAAGUCUAUUCCACAUUAGGUAACUGAUGCAAGCAGUAGAAUCAGACAAAAAUACACCUUAUGGAACAGCGGGGACUGUGAAGAGACACACACACAGGUACAGACCCACAUACACAUAAGACAUGCACUCUACACACACACGUACACAUUUUGUAUUGUAGAUAUGUGAGAAUAGAGUAGUGGCCUGAGGUAACACACUUAGUCAGCCACAAUUGGUGGCUGACUAAAUACUUUUUUGCCCCACUGUAUGUCGAUAUAGGACUCAUUUUACUAAGGAUAUAGAUACAUUUGUACCCGUUUCCUCCAGCAUCUUCACAAGGUCCUUUGCUGUUGUUCUGGGAUUGAUUUGCACUUUUCACACCAAAGUACGUUCAUCUCUAGGAGACAGAACGCGUCUCCUUCCUGAGCGGUAUGACGGCUGUGUGAUCCCAUGGUGUUUAUACUUGCUUACUAUUCUUUAUACAGAUGAACGUGGUACCUUCAGGCAUUUUGAAAUUGCUCCCAAGGAUGAACCAGACUUGUGGAGGUCUACACAUUUUUUUCUGAGGUCUUGGCUGAUUUCUUUUGAUUUUCCCAUUAAGUCAAGCAAAGAGGCACUGAGUUUGAAGGUAGGCCUUGAAAUACAUCCACAGGUACACCUCCAAUUGACUCAAAUGAUGUCAAUUAGCCUAUCAGAAGCUUCUAAAGCCAUGACAUCAUUUUCAGGAAUUUUCCAAGCUGUUUAAAGGCACAGUCAACUUAGUGUAUGUAAACAUCUGACCCACUGGAAUUAUGAUACAGUGAAUUAUAAGUGAAAUAAUCUGUCUGUAAACAAUUUUUGGAAAAAGUUGCUUGCGUCAUGCACAAAGUAGAUGUCCUAACCGACUUGCCAAAACUAUAGUUUGUUAACAAGAAAUUUGUGGAGUGGUUGAAAAACGAGUUUUAAUGACUCCAACAAUAGUGUACGUAAACUUCCGACUUCAACUGUAGCUGUUGAAUGCGGAUACGGCUGGUAAACCAGGUGAGUGAAUCUAAAUAUUGUGUCAUGUAGGCCUAGUGUAAAAGGCUCAUAAUGUCCUCAUGCUGCAUUGAUUAAGCCUUAGGGCAGGUGUAGAGUACAUUUGUUCUUGCCAGGAGUCCUCACACCAAGCAAUAUGUAUCUAGGAAUGUUAAAGUUGAAAUUCUGCACCAUGCUCUGUGCUCUUACCUAUCAUAACUUUACUUUGGAAUAUGUUGUUUAGUGUAAGUGCUGUGUGUCCUACACUUAAGGAGACCAGACAGAGGCAGAGCAGACCCGACAUAUUAAUAAUUAAUGACCCAGUGAAGGCUAGCUGUAUAGUAGCGCUCCAGUGAGGGUGACCAGGCUUUGUUCAGUAGGACACACAGAGAAGUGGGCCAUUGUGUGCGUGUGUGUGUGCGUUUUGGCUGGUAUUGGGUUACACACAAGGUCACUCUCAGUAAUCUCUGUUCAAUCAGUGGCCUCUAAGGUUGGGCGGUAUCCAGAUUUUCAUAUCGUCAUACUGUCUUUCUCUCAUCCUGGAAUUUACGGUAUUACUGGUAUUACUGUUUUUUUUUUGCAUUAAAAAUGCUAAAAAAAAACCUUUGGGUGUCUACCAAAAUGCUAAAAAAAUUCACACAAGUCCUAGCGGAUUUUUAUAGAAGCUGCUAGCUAAAUAUGCUAACGAGCACAAACGAAAAUAAACUAAUUGCAAAGACAUGAAAACCCGUCACAAGUUAUACAUAGAGUGCCUUCAUAAAGUUGUCUCACACCUAGACUUUUUCCACUUUUUGUUGUGUUACAGCCUUAAUUUAAAAUGUAUUAAGUUCAGAUUUUUUUGUCACUGGCCUACACACAAUACCCCAAAAUGUCAAUGUGUAAUUAUGUUUUUAGAAAUGUUUAGUAUUUAAUUAAAAAUUAAAAGCUGAAAUGUCUUGAGUCAAGUAUUCAAUCACUUUGCCUAAAUAAGUUCAGGAGUAAAAAUGUGCAAGUCACAUAAUUAUCAGGUAUCAAGGUAAGACCCAGAUGCAGACCGUGUCGAAGUAACAAUGUUUAUUACAGCAACGGCAGGCAAAGGUACAGGACGGCAGGCAUGCAGAGUGGUCAGGCGGAUGGGUACAGGGUCAGGACAGGCAAGGGUCAAAAACCAGGAGGACGAGAUAAGAGAGACUGGUGAAGAAAACCAGUCAGUAUAUUGUUUGACCAUCAUUUGCCUCAUGUAGCGCGACACAGUUCCUUUGCAUAGAGUUGUUCAGGCUGUUGAUUGAGGCCUGUGGAAUGUUGUCCACACUCCUCUUCAAUGGCUGUUUCGAAGAUGCUGGAUAUUUGCGGGAACUGGAACGCGCUGUCGUACACAUCAAUCUAGAGCAUCCCAAACAUGCUCAAUUGGUGACAUGUCUGGUGAGUAUUCAGGCCAUGGCAGAACUGGGACAUUUUCAGCUUCCAGGAAUUGUGUAAAGAUUCUUGCGACAUGGGGCCUUGCAUUAUCAUGCUGAAACAUGAGGCGAUGGCGGUGGAUGAAUGGCACGACAAUGGGCCUCAGGAUCUCGUCACGGUAUCUCUGUGCAUUGAAAUUGCCAUGGAUAAAAUACAAUUGUGUUAGUUGUCCGUAGCUUAUGCCUGCCCAUACUAUAACCCCACCACCAUCUUGGGGCACUCUGUUCACAACGUUGAUAUCAGUAAACUGUUUGCCCACACAAUGCCAUACACGCUGUCUGCCAUAUGCCAGGUACAGUUGAAACCAUGAUUCAUCCGUGAAGAGCACACUUCUUCAGCAUGCCAGUGGCCAUCAAAGGUUCACAUUUGCAUACUGAAAACUGUUACGACUCCAAACUGCAGUCAGGUCAAGACCCUAGUGAGGAUGACGAGCACGCAGAUGAGCUUCCCUAAGACGUUUUCUGACAGUUUGUGCAGAAAUGAUUUGGUUGUGCAAACCCACAGUUUCAUCAGCUGACUGGUUGACUGGUCUCAGACGAUCCAGCAGGUGAAGAAGCCAGAUAUUGAGGUCCUGUGCUGGUGUGGUUACACAUGGUCUGCGGUUGUGAGGCCGGUUGGACGUACUGCCAAAUUCUUUAAAAAAAUUGCUGGAGGCGGCUUAUGAUAGAGAAAUUAACAUUUAAAUUCUGAUAACAACUCUGGUGGGCAUUACUGCAGUCAGCAUGCCAAUUGCACGCUCCCUCAAAACUUGAGACUUCUGUGGCAUUGUGUUGUGUGACAAAACUGUACAUUUUAGAGUGGCCUUUUAUUGUCCUCAGCACAAGGUGCACCUGUGUAAGGAUAAUGCUGUUUAAUCAACUUCUUGAUAUGCCACACCUGUCAGGUAGAUGGAUUGUCUUGGCAAAAGAGAAAGGCUCACUAACAGAGAUGUAAACAAAUUUGUGCACAACAUUUUUGAGAAAUAAGCUUUUUGCGAGUAUGGAACAUUUCUGGGCUCUUUUAUUUCAGCUAAUGAUACAUGGGACCAACACUUUACAUGUUGCAUUUAUAUUUUAUGUUCAGUAUAAUUAGUGACCUUAAUUCAUCAAUCAAGUACAAGGGAGGAGUGAAAACCCACAGACACUCAGUCUUCCAUGGAAUGAGUUUGAGACCUGUGUAUUGGAGACUUAACCAGAAAGACUCACAACUGUAAUUGCUGCCAAAGGUGAUUCUAACAUGUAUUUACUCAGGGGUGUGAAUACUUACACUGUAUGUAACUGAGAUAUUUCUGUAUGACAUUUUCAAUAAAUUAGCAAACAAUUCUAAAAACAUGUUUGCACUUUGUCACUAUGGGGUAUUUUGUGUAGAUGGGUGAAAGAAAAACAUUUAUUGAAUCCAUUUUUGAAUUCAGGCUGUAACACAACAAAAUGUGGAAUAAGUGAAGGGGUAACAGGGCUGGUCCUUGCCUUUCUGCUGCUUUAGGCAAUCUCAAAAAGCGGCACCCACAGUGAAACUAGAAUAGUCCCAGUAAGCAAAAGGAUGUUGAAAAGAUGUCUAAAAUACUUAUUUUUCAGACGUUGAUGUAGGGUUAAAUUUAAGUUCUGAUUGAAUGGUAAAAAUAUCUAUUUUCCGUACGUAUUUUCCAGGACGUUGAAAAGGCAUGAAAGACGUUGAAAAAUACAUAUUUUACGGACGUUGAAAUCAGAUUCAUUUUCGGUAAUGAAUGACAGUUGAAAAUACUUAUUUUCCAGACGUUGAAAUCAGGUGUAAUUUUUUUGGUUUUGAAUGAAAGUUGAAAAUACGUAAUUUAGAGAUGACUAUGUUUGGCUGGUCUAGACCUGACCAAAUCUGAACCAAACAUAGAAGUCUAUGAUAGGUUCAGAUUUGGACCAGACCCAACCAAAAAUCUAUGUCCGUGGGUGUUGAAAUCAAAGCAAACAGGUUCAGAUUUGGUUCGUACCAGACCAAAAUCCAAUGUCAGUUGAUGUGGAAUUCAAUAUCGGUCUGGACUGAACAAAAAAAGACGUUCAAAAGGUGUCAGCGUCGGUCCUGCUUCCUGAGGUAUGUCAUAUAGUGUUGCCUGAAAUUGUAUUUUAUGAAUGCCCAACUGUGGUAAGCCUACCAUUUGUAAAACACCAAAUAAAGCCGUCUGGAUAGGACAAUAAAAAGACGUCGGCUCAUGCUUACUGGGGUUUAGCCUACGAUGUCAACCAGCAAUGGAAUUUUAUGAAUGCCCAUCCAUGUGGUAGGCCCAUCGUUUUUAAAACAGGCGGUUGCAUUGGCUUUUGACGAAUCAGUUUUGCUAUUUAAGCCCUGAAUUUCAGCUGCUCAACUUUUUAGGAGUUAUCAUGAGCCUAUUUGCAUUGUGUUUACACAGCAGGAAAUGCAGAAGUAUUUUUGUUGUUGCUAUGAUCAGCUUGAAAUCGCUGAUCAUGAAAAUGGGGUGAAACUCCUGGACAACAGUUGUUAUAGUCCAUUCCAAAUUGUCCAUUUUAUGUUGACGUGAUCUGUUUAUGGAAUAUGUUGUAAACGUGACCGCGCAUUUUUUUUAUUUGAUUGGGCACCAUUUAGUUAGGCUAUUUGAUCGGAGAAACCGGCAUGAUGUUAAAAUUGUCUGUCUCAAUACAUUGUCAUACAUUUUAUCUCCAGCCUGUAGGCUACAGUAAAGGCAACAUGCUAUUUUUACUAUAUCCUGUAUCUGCUACAGGAUUUAUGUUAGAUAAUUUUUUGGACGGAAUGUUGGUGGAUCCGUGCGUCUGCAACAGCACCCUGGAGAGGAGCUCUGGAAAUGGACAAGAAAAAUGUUUUGCGCCCCUGCCUUUGACAAAGUGGGCACAGGGCGGCAUCAGCGCUCACCUAAAAAGCCCAUAUGCCACUUAUUGAGAGAAAUUGUCACUGUUUUUGGGCAGAAUUAUGUGAGCUUUUAUAUGUUGUUGGAGGUACGUCUUGGUCAGUAUAGCGUAGAAAAUGCCGCCCUUGUCAAUUUGCCGACAUAUGCGGCCGCCUAACGGUCUGUGUACACUAGCAGGCUGUACAUUUCCGCUGCUAUAUGCUGUGGCGGUGCUGGCAGCAUAUAGCAGCAGUUCGGUUGUGCAUCAAUAAUUCAGUACAGUCCAUCAAGAAUUCAGCCUUUUGUAUAAGGUCUGGUUAUUAAAUGGGUAAAUAGUUUAAUCCAUUCUACAUUUCAUUUAUUUAUUCACAGAUAAAUAGUAAUAUGCUCUUAACCGUUCUGGUGACAAACUUUGCUGCCCUGUUUCCAAUCGUCAACAUGGCUGGGAGAACCUAUUGAACUACAGAGAGCUAUGAACGCCUGUUGUAUGCAGAUGAAGAGGUCCCAAUGAAGAGCGGUGGUUCUCAGUCCUGGUCCUGGGGACUCAAAGUGGUGCACAUUUUUGUUUUUGCCUUAGCACUACACAGCUGAUUCAAAUGAUCAACUCAUCAUCAAGCUUCAAACAGUAUUUAAGUAUUCAUUUUUGAUGCCAUCCUUGAUAUAAUCCUUCUGUUGUCACAUUCUACACAUGCAUUUAUCCAAUGUUAUCAUGAUUUGUUAUAAGAGAUAUUAUACUUUCAGUAAUCCACAAUGACCUGGUGAUGUAAAAGUCUAAUAAUGACAUUAUCUUCCAUUUUCCUACAGAUACCUUGCAACUGGAGAUUCCUCCAAAACGAUUCCCUACAGUUACCGUGUCGGGCACUGCACGAUUGGGUGGCCAAGGCCACCUGGGACUGCCUCGUGGGGAAAUUCAGGUGUGUGUGAAGGCUACCUGUGUCCUGCAUAACUUCAUGAGGAUGGACACAAGGACCAGGAGGGGACCUGCAGCUUGCCGCCGUGUGCCAGAGGAGAGGUCUGCCGCUUUGCAGGAUGUUGCAAGGAUGGGGGCCAACAAUGCAGCACUGGAGGCAAUCCGUGUGGGAAGGCCUUUACCUCCUACUUCCCUGGCAACACCAAAUACCACACUAUGCAUGAUACAGGCUCUUUUAAGAGCCACCCACCUUGCAAUAAGAGUAUUGUUCCAUUUACUUAGGUAUGUCAACUGCAGUUAUGAUUUAUACCUCUUAGGUGAGGGUGCCGUUCAGGUAAAAUUAUUUAAAAAAAAAAUAAAAAAAUGUUUACCUUAUUUAACGGUGCUGUUCAGGUAAGGGUGAUGUCUGUACAUAAACAAAACAGGCUCUUUUAAGAGUCACCCAUAUUGAAAAAAAUGUGAACAGUAAGGCACCCUACAACCCACACCUACACAGUUGUGUAUCAAUCUGAUUGAUGGAUUGUAUUGUGCAGUAAGCAGGCUCAGGUGUAUAACUGGCUCCUUCCACCUUCAAAGAAUAGGCGAGAGGACCAACCAUGGAGAGUAGUAAGACACGCCAUUAUUUAUAUUUAAGUAACUACGCUAUAUCGUUUGUCCUCGUGUGUCUGCAUGUUUUUCAGUAUAAAGUACUCUGCAGCCACACACAGAUUCCUGUUGAACACUGUCUCUUUAACUACCUUGUUUUCUCAAUAACAAUUUCGACCCCUUCUCCCUAAAUCCUCUAGGUUAGAUCAGCUGUGUCGGUGAACCACUCCCGCUUCUGAACUGCCUGACACAUAGAGGGCACAGCAUGAUUAGAGGUAUGUUUUACUGUGAGAGAGGAUGCCAACCCCCAGUCCCGUCAUCGCCACCUCACCGACUCUAAGAUAACCCUCUGGCCAACUGGGGGCCCAAGAAUGGUUAGGAGACACUGUUAGAGACACUGUUAUGUAAUUGUGAUGACCUGAGAGAAUAUGAAGUUUGGUAGCAUAUGAUUAAUGAAUUACUGUGCUCUCUUCUCUGCUCCUCCGUUCUUAUCUCGUUCCUUUUCUGUCUAUUACACUUUUUCUCACACCUCUCCCCACCUCAUCUUUCUUCCUCUGUUUUUAUAAUGCCCACCAGAUGUGCAUUGAAUUACAGAUUGAACUUAUAUUUCUAAUAUUUAAUAAUAUUACGUAUUUAUAACUUGGAUGAUGAACUUCUUUCAACUUCUUUCAAUAAAGCUAUUCAUACCUGAA
Long non-coding RNA from Salvelinus fontinalis (brook trout), 9708 nucleotides. RefSeq lists it as uncharacterized. Lineage: Eukaryota; Metazoa; Chordata; Actinopteri; Salmoniformes; Salmonidae. The transcript is spliced from 3 exons. The record is from RefSeq and is a predicted model, not a curated record.